Molecule: long non-coding RNA, 333 nt
Filed under: Lepidothrix coronata (blue-crowned manakin)
Lineage: Eukaryota; Metazoa; Chordata; Aves; Passeriformes; Pipridae
Description: lncRNA (ENSLCOG00000000273.1)
Source: RNAcentral
CACGAGGAGAUAGAAAACACAAACCUCUUUUUAGCUUUGUUCUCAUCGUGGCAGGAUACAGCUGAUCCCUCCCAUACUAAAGAAAAUGAAAUAUGUACUUCAGUAAUUCACACACAAAUGAAUCCAGAAGAUUAUGAUUGUCAUCAAGCCCAACGAAGCAAGGAUUAUCCAAGUGAAUUAGAAACAGAAUUAGAGAAAACAGCAGAGAAAACACGUAGUAAAAAUAAAAGCAACCAGGAUUUCAUUAAAAAAAACAUUGAGGUAAGUGUUAAAAUGUCAAAUCAUUUACAUUUUGUUAAAUGUUAGCUAAAUAUUGGUCUAUAAGUACUUCUG